UCCCUGGUAGUCCAGUGGUUAAGAAUCCACCUUCCAAUGCUGGAGACACAGGUUCGAUUCCUGGUCAGGGAA
RNAcentral lists this transfer RNA (72 nucleotides) under Capra hircus (goat). It matches the Rfam family "tRNA". Rfam says of the family: Transfer RNA (tRNA) molecules are approximately 80 nucleotides in length. Their secondary structure includes four short double-helical elements and three loops (D, anti-codon, and T loops). Further hydrogen bonds mediate the characteristic L-shaped molecular structure. tRNAs have two regions of fundamental functional importance: the anti-codon, which is responsible for specific mRNA codon recognition, and the 3' end, to which the tRNAs corresponding amino acid is attached (by aminoacyl-tRNA synthetases). tRNAs cope with the degeneracy of the genetic code in two manners: having more than one tRNA (with a specific anti-codon) for a particular amino acid; and 'wobble' base-pairing, i.e. permitting non-standard base-pairing at the 3rd anti-codon position. The record is from Rfam by way of RNAcentral. RNAcentral also lists the same sequence under 1 other name. Lineage: Eukaryota; Metazoa; Chordata; Mammalia; Artiodactyla; Bovidae.